CAAUCUCUCAUCGAAUUUUAACUUUCUUUUUGGAAUUUGAAUUCUUAAGUUUAGUUGAGUUUCGGAUUCGUUUUCCGAAUUCUACGGUUGUCUACGGGGUUUGGGUUUAUUUUACGUUUUUGUGGGUGUUAGUUGGGGAUAGACUUCUCGGUUUUAGAGUUCACUCAGGGUAAUAGUUGGAUGGAGUUUUGAACGAAAUGAGCGGCAACUUAUCUGAAGAUUGUCCAUUGGGGUGUAAUAGUAGGUGGAUUGGCAUUUGAAUGAAAUUGGUGCCUGAUUACUUGAAGUGUGCAGCUGUGCUCUUGGAAAUUUUGUCAUUUCGUUGUUUUGUUUUUGCCUUGGAGGGGUUAUGGAUCCUUAGGUGGUAUCAACAGAAUCUCACGAAAGUCUUGGAGAUGCAUUCUUUAAAGGAUUGAUGGAGCGUUGAAUGCUGAGUUUACUACUUGUGUUUUUUGUGUAUUGUAAACUGUCGGGAAAUGAUUUGGGAGACACUAUCUCGUGCAUCCUAACUUUAUUUCAAGGAGCUAAUUUUAAAUGUGGAAGUGAGUCUCUCUUUUUUGGAUAGAAAGGAAAAAAAACCCCAUUAUUUUUCAACUCUCGUGCGUGUUGAUGGAUUCUGCUGUUCAGAUAUAUUACAAAUUAGAAUGAAAUUCAAGUGGCUGAUGUUUUGUUUUCUUUAUUUACGCUAUGCGGCUAUGCCAUUGUCAUUUGAUUUCCUCAAUUUUUUCCGUAAGAUUUCCCCAUAUUUUGUCGUUGAGCUUCAUCUAAUAUGAGUUCUCGAUCAUGCUAGUUCCAUGUUAA
Cucumis sativus (cucumber) is the source of this 801-nucleotide long non-coding RNA. RefSeq lists it as uncharacterized. NCBI's taxonomy places the organism in Eukaryota, Viridiplantae, Streptophyta, Magnoliopsida, Cucurbitales, Cucurbitaceae. The transcript has 2 exons. The record is from RefSeq and is a predicted model, not a curated record.